This 446-nucleotide ribosomal RNA is filed under the name uncultured bacterium. Its description in RNAcentral is "partial 16S ribosomal RNA". It matches the Rfam family "Bacterial small subunit ribosomal RNA", at positions 338 to 795 of the family's 1533-position model. The record is from RNAcentral.
CCUACGGGUGACAGCAGUCGAGAAUCAUUCACAAUGGGGGAAACCCUGAUGGUGCGACGCCGCGUGGGGGAAUGAAGGUCUUCGGAUUGUAAACCCCUGUCAUGUGGGAGCAAAUUAAAAAGAUAGUACCACAAGAGGAAGAGACGGCUAACUCUGUGCCAGCAGCCGCGGUAAUACAGAGGUCUCAAGCGUUGUUCGGAAUCACUGGGCGUAAAGGGUGUGUAGGCUGUUUCGUAAGUCGUGUGUGAAAGGCGCGGGCUCAACCCGCGGACGGCACAUGAUACUGCGAGACUAGAGUAAUGGAGGGGGAACCGGAAUUCUCGGUGUAGCAGUGAAAUGCGUAGAUAUCGAGAGGAACACUCGUGGCGAAGGCGGGUUCCUGGACAUUAACUGACGCUGAGGCACGAAGGCCAGGGGAGCGAAAGGGAUUAGAUACCCUAGUAGUC